UACGUAGGGUGCGAACGUUAAUCGGAAUUACUGGGCGUAAAGCGUGCGCAGGCGGUUCGUUGUGUCGGCGGUGAAAGCCCCGGGCUCAACCUGGGAAUGGCCGUUGAAACUGGCGAACUGGAGUGUGGCAGAGGGGGGUGGAAUUCCGCGUGUAGCAGUGAAAUGCGUAGAGAUGCGGAGGAACACCGAUGGCGAAGGCAGCCCCCUGGGCUGACACUGACGCUCAGGCACGAAAGCGUGGGGAGCAAACAGG
Molecule: ribosomal RNA, 253 nt
Filed under: uncultured bacterium
Lineage: Bacteria
Description: partial 16S ribosomal RNA
Rfam family: Bacterial small subunit ribosomal RNA
Source: RNAcentral